RNAcentral lists this ribosomal RNA (253 nucleotides) under uncultured bacterium. Its description in RNAcentral is "partial 16S ribosomal RNA". It matches the Rfam family "Bacterial small subunit ribosomal RNA", at positions 524 to 776 of the family's 1533-position model. The record is from RNAcentral.
UACGGAGGGUGCAAGCAUUAAUCGGAAUUAUUGGGCGUAAAGGGCGCGUAGGCGGAUUAGUAAGUCAGAUGUGAAAUUCCGGGGCUCAAUUUCGGAGCUGCAUUUGAAACUACGAAUCUUGAGGAUUGGCGGAGAGAACGGAAUUCCACGUGUAGCGGUGAAAUGCGUAGAUAUGUGGAAGAACACCGGUGGCGAAAGCGGUUCUCUAGCUAAAGCCUGACGCUGAGGCGCGAGAGCAAGGGGAUCAAACAGG